GCUGUCAUAGCUCAGCAGGCGAGAGCACUUCCGUAGUAAGGAAGGGGUCGCUGGUUCAAGUCCAGUUGUCGGCG
Molecule: transfer RNA, 74 nt
Filed under: Mycoplasmopsis felis
Lineage: Bacteria; Bacillati; Mycoplasmatota; Mycoplasmoidales; Metamycoplasmataceae
Description: tRNA-Thr
Rfam family: tRNA
About the family: Transfer RNA (tRNA) molecules are approximately 80 nucleotides in length. Their secondary structure includes four short double-helical elements and three loops (D, anti-codon, and T loops).
Source: RNAcentral